GUGGGGAAUAUUGCACAAUGGGCGCAAGCCUGAUGCAGCGACGCCGCGUGGGGGAUGACGGCCUUCGGGUUGUAAACCCCUUUCGCCCGGGACGAAGCGCAAGUGACGGUACCGGGAGAAGAAGCACCGGCCAACUACGUGCCAGCAGCCGCGGUAAUACGUAGGGUGCAAGCGUUGUCCGGAAUUAUUGGGCGUAAAGAGCUCGUAGGCGGUGUGUCACGUCUGCCGUGAAAACCUGCGGCUUAACCGUGGGCGUGCGGUGGAUACGGGCAUCACUUGAGUUCGGUAGGGGAGACUGGAAUUCCUGGUGUAGCGGUGGAAUGCGCAGAUAUCAGGAGGAACACCGGUGGCGAAGGCGGGUCUCUGGGCCGAAACUGACGCUGAGGAGCGAAAGCGUGGGGAGCGAACAGGAUUAGAAACCCUGGUAGUCC
This 431-nucleotide ribosomal RNA is filed under the name uncultured bacterium. RNAcentral's name for it is "bacterial SSU rRNA". It matches the Rfam family "Bacterial small subunit ribosomal RNA", at positions 354 to 796 of the family's 1533-position model. The record is from RNAcentral.